This is a non-coding RNA of Punica granatum (pomegranate), 2877 nucleotides long. Lineage: Eukaryota; Viridiplantae; Streptophyta; Magnoliopsida; Myrtales; Lythraceae. The record is from RefSeq and is a predicted model, not a curated record.
UUCCUAAAUUUCUCAAACCGUACUCUCUCAAAACAGGACGAAAUCUCUGGGCCCCACUAAUUACCUGUGUAUAUACCAUAGAAGAACCAAAAUACCCAAUCAUUCCGUAUAACGCUACGCGCUCUUUUCAAAAAAGUCGUCGCGGGACUCAGCCACCCCCUGUCCACUCAACGCAGACAAUAAAGAAUUAUUCAACUCGGAAAGGGAAGAAGACCGGAAGCCUCUCUGCAAUUUGGGCCUUCUCCCAGCCGUCAGCUGUCUCUCUCUCUCUCUCUAUAUAUAUAUAUAUGUAUAUAUCAAAGGAUAUCUUAUCCCUUCUCAUUCAUCCGUUCAAAACAGAAGGAAGAACCCGACCCACUUACUGUGUAUUUGUCUCAGCUACACAUCCGCAGCCUGAAUCGCAUACUCGCUUCAAACUCAUCCGAAUAACUGAUAAGUUAUUCUUCUUGCAAUUGCGUGAAUGUCUGCCGCCAGAUUCACACCCGCUAUCUUCCUAAUCGUCGCUCUCUUGCUCUCCUCAUCCCUCAUAAGUAGAGCCUCAGCCAUCGGAGCUCAAAGCAGUCAUCAUCUCCAAGAAAGCACUCUGCCAACCCCUAGUGAUUCCAGCACUUUGUCAUUCCACAUGAGAAAACUCGGCAUCUAUGUUAGGAAAGGUGCUCGUUUGAGGCCAACGGUAGUCCCGAGGACCUCGACAAGGACGUCAGCAGCCGGGCGGACUAGCGUGCUGUCCUUCCGUGGGGGCUCUGUUCUCGGAUGCUCUCUGUUGCUUGGUUUGCUCUUGAUGUUCUAGUCCUGUGUGAAACUUGGAGGACGUUGUACAAGCUCCAAUUUCCUCAGAUGACCAGAGCAUAUAGAUGUAAAAAAAAAAAAAAAAAGCACUGGAUAUGUAAUGACCAAUUAGAAGGCACGGGAAGCAAAAAGCAGGCUUCAUUUGUUCCUUGUAAUUAGAUGCAUUCAUUAUCUCUUCAUUACUGUGGAUCUUAACUCAUCAUUAUGGAUAACGGGUCUUACUUCAUUAUUAUGGAUUUUCCAUUUGAUUCUCAGUUACUAUUCUUUGGAUGCAAUUAAAAUGCUUGGGUACUAUUAUAAUAUUCAUUGUUGAGUACUCAGGAUGUGAUUUACUCCGAGCCAUUAAUCUGAUGCCUGAGUUUGAAAUGAUUCUUGUCCAUCAAAGUUGUCAAACUCUAGUCGAUGCCCUAUUGAUUCCUUGCCCGACUUCUUUUACCUUGGAAAAUUUCCUUCGAUCUUGACGGAAAAGUUAGUGGGAAAAUCUUACAAAAAUGGAAGGUAUAGUUGGAAAUAUUAUUCUUUAAAGUACAUAUAAAAGGUUUGAGCGUCACCUCCUGACAGGAGAUCCAAUUAUGUUUGUUUUGCAAUAAUGACGGGCUGGAAAAGCCCUAGUGAUUGGCGGAUUUUGUGGAACCUAUAACAACGAAAAAUGACUUCAUGGGAGUAUAAGAAGCAUCAAGUUGCCUGCGAAUCUAUCUAUAGGGCUCCUUGGUUAACUAACCAUCCGUCUUGACUGAGAUGAGUGAUAGGUAUCUUUAUUCUUUUCUUAUAUUCAACAAGCAUCCACAAAUUAAAGCUUAAUCGUAAUUCCACCUAAAAGCAAUUCUCUCUGUCCCCCUAUGCUUUGCUUAGUGACAGCAUCAGCAAUGAAUUCCUGGGAGAUAACAACCACCAAAUUCUGAUGAAAACUUCCUCUAAUUUAACUGCCUCUUCAUCAUUUGCUGCCUGAUGCACAACUAAAUGGAUGCUGCGCACCGCCAUAAAUUGCAUAGAUUUCCAAACAUAUGUAUACAUACAGAUAUAUAUGUAUAUAUGUAUAUUUUCCGCUGUGGAACGCUGUUGAAUUAACUGUGAGUGAACCACGGAUACAAACAACUCGAAAUAAACACAAUACCAGUAGCAUUGCAUCAUGCUAAAUAUUAGUUCUCAGUAUUUGUGCCGAAAGAAAAAAGAUCAGGAAAGCUGAGCUGCUAUGUAAGCAAAAAUAUAGACAGAGAUAAUCGUCUUCUAGCAUGGCUGCAUUGGAUUCCAUUUGAGUAUAUUCGUUUUCCUUUGUUUGAGAACCUGUAGCUGGAGGGGUCGCAAAACAUUAUGAUAUCAAAAGCAAAAUUUAUAUUAUAUAAGGAUGUAGGUUCUUAGUUAGUGUUGAUAAAUGUUAGAGCUCGUUAGAGUGGAAUCACCAUCAUAAUGACGAAAAAUUUGCUUAUUUUGCUCCUCCUCCUUCUCUUUCCUUCCAAGUAUGAAUGCACUUCAUCUCCCGAACCAACAACUCAGAAUCCUCAUAUAGUCUCGGAAACUCGACCCUGCAAUGAGAAGGAAAGGCAGACCUGCAAAGUUUCUAGGAAAAAUCAUGAGGGAAUUCAAGAAGUUUGGUUAAGUGACGUGUAUAAGAAAGGGAAGGGUGUUUACAGAGGAGGAGAUCGGUUCCGACCAUGUCCAGGCCAUCGAUCUUGCUCAAGUCCUCAUCUAAUGAAAUCUACAUUUCUCUCUGCUUUGCUUGCCCCCGGACUUCUUGUUCUAUAUAUGCUGCGUUUAUUGGAGUAACACCUUUCCGGUACUCGUGAAUGGGAGGGAAAUAGAAUAGGAUUCACUGUUUUACAUUUUAUGUUCUUAUGUUACCUCUUAUAUGCACAGUAUAUGCAUCUUUCCUUCCACCCCGAUCAUCUUUCACUAGUCUAUUGUAACACCAGUUUCUGUCUCUCUGUCAAUACAUUAUCAUGAUUUCUCGCUAUAGUGGCUGAUAUCAGUGAUACAUGCCCGUAAGGCAGUUGAGCGAUUGGAGAGCAGAAACGGUCUCUACAUACUCUACAUGGAUAGGGUGAUAGGCCAAUUGGCCAAGCAACUGGACCAGAUUUCAUCCCUCCACCA